AGUCGUAACAAGGUUUACCGUAGGUGGAACCGUGCAGGAAGGAUCCAUUGAAAGAGUAAGGGGUUAUUCGGUAGCCCGACCUCCAACCCUUUGUUGUUAUAACUACCUCGUUGCUUUGGCGGGACCGCUCGGUCUCGAGCUGCUGGUCUUCGGCCCGGCAAGUGCCCGCCAGAGUCUACUCAAACUCUUGUUUUAACCGGUCGUCUGAGUUAAACUUUCAAUUAAAUUAAAA
This 232-nucleotide unclassified non-coding RNA is filed under the name plant metagenome. RNAcentral's name for it is "partial contains small subunit ribosomal RNA and internal transcribed spacer 1". The record is from RNAcentral.